UACAGAGGUCUCAAGCGUUGUUCGGAUUCAUUGGGCGUAAAGGGUGCGUAGGUGGCGAGGUAAGUUGGAUGUGAAAUCCCGGGGCUCAACCCCGGAACUGCAUUCAAUACUGCCUUGCUAGAGUACUGGAGAGGAGAUUGGAAUUUACGGUGUAGCAGUGAAAUGCGUAGAUAUCGUUUGGAACGCCGAUGGUGAAAACAGGUCGCUGGGGACGUGCUGACGCUGAGACACGAAAGCCAGGGGAGCGAACGGG
This 253-nucleotide ribosomal RNA is filed under the name uncultured bacterium. RNAcentral describes it as "partial 16S ribosomal RNA". It matches the Rfam family "Bacterial small subunit ribosomal RNA", at positions 524 to 776 of the family's 1533-position model. The record is from RNAcentral.